This 577-nucleotide unclassified non-coding RNA is filed under the name Hevea brasiliensis (rubber tree). The record is from RNAcentral. Lineage: Eukaryota; Viridiplantae; Streptophyta; Magnoliopsida; Malpighiales; Euphorbiaceae.
GAUACCAAAACUCAACCUGGUCUGGUAGCCACUUUACCAGUUCAACGUCACAAAAGCUUUGGACUAUAAAAUGAUUCAGAGCCUGUUCCGGCGAAUCCCCUGACUAAGACAUCCUACCUCUAGGCCUUGGAAACUCCGAAAUGAAUUAAAUAUAGACUGGACCCUCAAGUCUUCAACCCCAUGAUUCCCACCGUUGUUGUUUUCUACUAGUCCUAGUCCUUUCCGUUCUCUUUCUCUCCUAUUAAUAGCUUCAACAACAUCAUCAAUCUCUUCAAUUUCGGAAUCCUCGUUUAGAUCUCUCUUUGGCUGUUUGUUUUAGUUUUUAGGUGGGACAAGCUUUCUGUAAUGGCGGAGACAUGGGUGAGAAUGGUGACUGCGCAGACACCCACUAAUAUAGCGGUGAUAAAGUACUGGGGGAAGAGGGAUGAGACCCUGAUUUUGCCUGUUAACGAUAGCAUAAGUGUUACACUAGAUCCUGCACAUCUUUGUACCACCACUACUGUGGCUGUUAGUCCUAGUUUUGUUCAGGAUCGGAUGUGGCUUAAUGGGAAGGAGAUUUCCCUUUCUGGAGGCAGGG